GCAGAAGUCUGGGCAGCUGCGGGAGGAGAGGUUUGGGAGGCGCGGGAGAUGUCCACCCUGGGCUGGUGGCGCCGCCGGGCGCCGGGCGCCAUGAGGGUGCGCUAGGCGGCUGUUCGUGCCCGAGGCUGCGCAGCACUGAGGUGAGCUUUGCCUUCUUGAUCUUCCGUCCUUCUUGGAGACGACUGGCGAGAGGAAGAGGGACUAGGUCCAAACGCUAGGUGGCUGGGUCCAGAUACCUGUGUUUUGACUCUGUUCCUGUGGAUAGCUGCUUGGUCUGAAGUUCCAGAAAGGAUCCUGUUCCCAGACAGGUCCCUGAGUACUGACGGUCACAGGCUGCCGCGUCUUUCCUGUUGACUCAUGUUUGGUUCCUCCAGUGAAAAUUUUACUUAGAGAAAUGCUGCCUCCAAAGCACUUGUCUGCCACCAAACCUAAGAAGUCCUGGGCCCCAAAUCUGUAUGAGCUAGACAGUGACUUGACUAAGGAGCCGGAUGUCAUCAUAGGAGAAGGUCCAACUGACUCUGAGUUUUUUCAUCAGAGGUUUCGGAACCUAAUCUAUGUGGAAUUUGUUGGGCCUCGGAAGACCCUGAUCAAACUCCGAAACCUCUGCCUCGAUUGGUUGCAGCCGGAGACCCGCACCAAGGAGGAGAUCAUCGAGCUCUUGGUCCUUGAGCAGUACCUGACCAUCAUCCCUGAAAAGCUCAAGCCUUGGGUGCGAGCAAAAAAGCCGGAGAACUGUGAGAAGCUCGUCACUCUGCUGGAGAAUUACAAGGAGAUGUACCAACCAGAAGACGACAACAACAGUGACGUGACCAGCGACGACGACAUGACCCGGAACAGAAGAGAGUCCUCACCACCUCACUCAGUCCAUUCUUUCAGUGGUGACCGGGACUGGGACCGGAGGGGCAGAAGCAGAGACAUGGAGCCACGAGACCGCUGGUCCCACACCAGGAACCCAAGAAGCAGGAUGCCUCCGCGGGAUCUUUCCCUUCCUGUGGUGGCGAAAACAAGCUUUGAAAUGGACAGAGAGGACGACAGGGACUCCAGGGCUUAUGAGUCCCGAUCUCAGGAUGCUGAAUCAUACCAAAAUGUGGUGGACCUCGCUGAGGACAGGAAACCUCACAACACAAUCCAGGACAACAUGGAAAACUACAGGAAGCUGCUCUCCCUCGGUUUCCUUGCUCAGGACUCUGUCCCUGCAGAAAAGAGGAACACAGAGAUGUUAGACAAUCUGCCAUCUGCUGGGUCCCAGGUGGGACCCUGAGGCUUAACCUACCCAAACUCACAAAGAACCAGAGCCAGGACUCUGAUUCCUGAGGCUGAGUUCCCGGACUUCAAACACUUAGGAACAUUUCUGGUGUUUGAGGAGUUGGUGACCUUCGAGGAUGUGCUUGUGGACUUCAGCCCAGAGGAACUUAGUUCCCUUAGUGCUGCUCAGAGAAACCUCUACAGGGAGGUGAUGCUGGAGAAUUACCGGAACCUGGUCUCCCUGGGGCACCAGUUCUCUAAACCUGACAUUAUCUCACGCCUGGAAGAGGAGGAAUCAUAUGCAAUGGAGACAGACAGCAGACAUACAGUGAUUUGUCAAGGAGAGUCUCAUGAUGAUCCAUUGGAACCACACCAGGGCAACCAAGAGAAACUUUUGACUCCUAUAACAAUGAAUGACCCCAAGACCCUCACUCCGGAAAGAAGCUAUGGCAGUGAUGAAUUUGAGAGAAGCUCUAAUCUUAGUAAACAAUCAAAGGAUCCUCUAGGAAAGGAUCCCCAGGAAGGCACUGCUCCUGGAAUAUGUACGAGUCCCCAGUCAGCAUCCCAAGAGAACAAACACAACAGAUGUGAAUUUUGCAAACGAACCUUUAGUACGCAAGUAGCCCUUAGGAGACACGAACGGAUCCAUACUGGGAAGAAACCCUAUGAAUGUAAACAGUGUGCUGAAGCCUUCUAUCUCAUGCCACACCUCAACAGACAUCAGAAGACCCAUUCUGGUAGGAAGACUUCUGGCUGCAAUGAAGGUAGAAAGCCUUCCGUCCAGUGUGCGAAUCUCUGUGAACGUGUAAGAAUUCACAGUCAGGAGGACUACUUUGAAUGUUUUCAGUGCGGCAAAGCUUUUCUCCAGAAUGUGCAUCUUCUUCAACAUCUCAAAGCCCAUGAGGCAGCAAGAGUCCUUCCUCCUGGGUUGUCCCACAGCAAGACAUACUUAAUUCGUUAUCAGCGGAAACAUGACUACGUUGGAGAGAGAGCCUGCCAGUGUUGUGACUGUGGCAGAGUCUUCAGUCGGAAUUCAUAUCUCAUUCAGCAUUAUAGAACUCACACUCAAGAGAGGCCUUACCAGUGUCAGCUAUGUGGGAAAUGUUUCGGCCGACCCUCAUACCUCACUCAACAUUAUCAACUCCAUUCUCAAGAGAAAACUGUUGAGUGCGAUCACUGUUGAGAAACCUUUAGUCACAGCACACACUUUUCUCAACAUUAUUGGCUUCCUCCUAGAGUGUUGUGAGUGUGAGAAGGCCUUUCACUAGCCCCACCUUGUUAACAACUUGAACAUUCAUCAAAGUGUGGUAAAAAAAAAAAAAAA
This is an RNA transcript of Homo sapiens (human), 2569 nucleotides long. It is a transcript of the gene named zinc finger imprinted 2, with no coding region annotated. The record is from RefSeq and is marked reviewed. The transcript has 13 exons. Lineage: Eukaryota; Metazoa; Chordata; Mammalia; Primates; Hominidae.